CGGCGGCCAGGGGUCGCGAGCCGGUGGAGGACCCGCGCGCGGAGGAGCCCGGGGAGUCAGCGCUUUUUCCCUCCCUCCCCCACUCCCCUCCCCGCUCCCUCCCCCCUUCCCCAAGAAUGUUCCGCUACGAGGUAAGCUCUUGCGACCGGAAGUGGCCCCCCCUUCCUCGCGCGCCCCUUUCCUCUCACCCUCCGCGCUCCGGUCCCGUGCUCCUGGGGGGAGGGGGCGAGCCGUGGGAGUCGCGCGAUCUAGCGCAGCGCCCCCGACCUGGGGUCGCGGAUUUAGUCCGAGGUCUGGGAACCAGCUUUGAGGUUUGGGGGGCGGGACUGUCCCAUCCGAUGCCGCUGGGGAGAGUUGGCUUCUGCUUUGGGGUGGGGAGGGCCCGUUAGUGCGGUAACCUGACCGCCCGUCGCCCCCACUCGGGGAGGGGCGGUGGAGGGAAGAGCAUUGCACCCACCGGGUGGCUGUUCUUAGGAAGAACCACCCGGGGAUGCCCGGAGACGACUUUCCCGCCUACCCAGAACCAGCCCCCUUCUCCCGGGUUACCCACGGGUACACGCUGUACACCCCGGCAGCCCUCGGUCAGGGCGCCUGGACUUGCCCUUUGGCUGGGGCCCCGGACUGUUUACUAGGAGAGCGCUCCGAGCGGGAGGGGGCGUGUCCAGCUGAAGUUCUUUCUGGACGAGUGGAGUGAGCUGUGGGUUUGGCUACGACGUCGGAGGGGAAUGCAGCAGCUCCAGAAUGUGGAGUCUAGACCGUAUCGCCCACUCGCUUAGUGACCUUGAGCCACUCCUAAUCGCUGGACACAAGGUUUCUGGAUUUAUAAAGUGGAAGGACUGAUCUAGGUGAUUCCUGAGAGUCAUUUCAAUUUUAAAAAGCAGCGAUUUGGUUAAGUCGAUCUUGAUGUUUUGGUUAAGUGGAUCUUGAUGAUUUGGAAGGGAGUGCGCUGGAAGUUGCCUCUGAUGUGGUGGCAGACUGCUUUGUGGAAGUUUGUGGGCCCUAAGAUGGGUAGAAAGGCCAGUAAGGACAGAUACUUGAUAAAAGUGUUAACUGACUUUGUAUAAACAUGGAGAGAAUGAUGAGAUACAAUGAGCAGAAGUUGCCAAAAGGAAACUUGGAGAUUAAGCUGAGUAAACCUGAAGAGAUGGGGAGGGGGGUGGCAGGUCCAAACAGAAUGUACCGAAAGUGUUAUGGUAAUAUCUAGGUUUUAUUUAGCAAUAUGCAGUCUUUGCCUUGUUUGAUCCUCACAACAAACUAUUUGAGGUAAGUGGUAUUUGUCUCUGCGGCGCCACUUAAGAAUCCAGGACCUAGGGCCUAGCACAGAACCUGAGACAAAAAUGUUCUCAAAUGAUGCUAAUGAGGGCUAGAGCACCUACCUACUACUUUGGGUUCCAUUCUCAGCACUUCAUUACACACACACACACACACACACACACACACGAUAGUUAAUGGAUUAAUCAGAAAAGUGAGUUGCCUGUGUUUAUCAUGGCUUUUCUAGAGUUCAUUUCUGUUUUUUUUCACUAGAGUUUAGGCCUAUAGAAAGCAAAGUGAAGAGGUGGAAAAUGAAAAGAAAGUUUUAAAAGAGAACACUGAAAUUGUUGAAAACCCAGCAUGAAAAUAAUGAUAAAGAUGUGAACUUAGUUAAAAAAGAUACAUAAAAGUACUCAUUUUGGCAAUUUGAAAAUUUUCAUCUCUGUUCCACCCGGUGAUGUAAAGGAUACUGUGGGCCUAAUUUCUUGUGUGCAUGAGAAAAUGCUAUCAUUAGAUUCUUGAUAAAGUAAAGAAAAAAGAUGCUUGGGGAAAAUUCAAGUAAGGAAUAAAGAAUAGAAACAGAAACAAGCUACUGAAAGCGUCCAAUGUCAGGGUAAUUGAGGAGUAUAAAAUGCCAUCUUUACAAAAGGUCAUAAUAAAACUAUUAUAUUCACUGAGAAGAUAAGGUGAACAUUUUUAGAACAUUAUAAAUGAGAAUUUGAAUUUCAUGAAAAACUUCUUUUCAUUUUUUUUUAGUCUUUGGAGGAUUGUCCUCUAGAUGAAGAUGAAGAUGCAUUUCAGGGCCUGGGAGAAGAAGAUGAGGAGAUUGAUCAGUUCAAUGAUGAUACAUUUGGGUCAGGUGCAGUUGGUAAGUGGCAUCUUUUGUGUAUGUAUGUGUUGAGAUUGAACCCAGGGCCUUGCACAUGCCAGGCAAGCACUCUACCAACUGAGCUAUAACUCCAGCCCAAGAGGCUUAUAGUUUCAUCUUCAUCUCUUGCUCAAAUACUUUGUCUUAGAAGGAGUAACCUUAUUCACUAAUUUGGCAAGUUAAUCUUGAUCUCGGUGAGAAUAGUAUGUCCUUUACUCAGAAUAGUUCAUCCUCCUAUUGUGCUCUUCUGGUUGGUCAUCUUUUAUUCUCUAAGCCCUAUGUCUUCCAGCUAUCUGGUUUUGAUUCUCGGUUGCCACCAUAAGGAAUUCAGAUGUUUAGAUCAAUAGACAUUUGAAAGAGAUUUUAAAUAAUUCUAAAUAAAAGGAAUUUUUAUUUGGAGAAGAUGUAACCUAAGGAAAACUCAUGGACUAAUAGAGAAUUCAGAUUCUAGUAUUCUGCAUGUUCUACAUUUAGCCCAACACCAGUACAUGGUUGUAUUUAAUAAAAUAAAAAGCUUUUAAUUCCAAGAAUUUUAGCAAUAGGAAAUCUUCAUAAGUUUGAAAAGUAUUGUAAACAAAUGAAAUUUUAUCCAUCUCCAGAUAUAGAUUAAAUAUUGUAAGAGCUGAAAAAAGUUAAAAGAGCUAAAGUAGACUUAAAGCUACAGAGUUGUAAAUGCUGGGAUAAAACAAUUAAGAAGCAAGGCUAUAUGAUUACAUUUGAGAACAAAAUUUACUUAGAACAAAUUUAGAGCAAGUUAACUAAGUAUUAGAAAUUUAUACUUUUUAAAGAAAUGAAUAGAUCAGAGUCAAUGUAGAUAUUGUUGUUUUGACUUAGUGUUGGAAAGCAGCAAUAGCAGUGUUUAUAUUGUGGUGUGUCAAUAUUUGUAAUUUCUUUAGAAUUGCAGCAACAAAUAUUCAAAAUUAAAUAAGGAAGAAGAGGAAAUGUAAAACAGUGGGUGAUACCAAUGUGUUAGUAUCAAAAACAAAGGUUUUAUAAAAGUUAUAGUGGAUAGUGUUUUGUGAUGACUUUAUAGCUUAGGUUUGUGAAAGCUUGCACAGAGUUGAAUGAACUGGCAAAAAUGAAAAAGUUUACUACUAGUCUUCCAUUUAUAAAAUUAAGUAGAAACUGUGACUUUGUCAUGAUCUAGAGCAGCAAGAAGAAUGUUAAAAGUAUAAACUAGACUCAUUACAGAAAGGAAAUAAAGAUCCUAUGGAUUGUAGUCAUAGUUUAGGAGAUGAGAUUGCCCAUCUCCACGGAGAUGGCAGGGAAAGCUAUGAAGAAUAGAAUUACAAAUGGAGGGAACUACACAUCCAUUGAUUUACAUAUUGCCAUACUAGUUGUAACUGAUGUGAUUCUGCAAUCUGUAUACGGGGUAAAAAUGGGAGUUCAUAACCCACUUGAAUCAAAGUGUGAAAUAUGAUAUAUCAAGAACUAUGUAAUGUUUUGAACAACCAACAAUAAAAAUUUUUAAAUAAAUAAAUAAAUAAAAAACAAAUGGAGGGAACUAAUGUGAAUUGCAAAUUGCAUAAUAACCUAGACAAUAAAAGUCAUAACAUUGUAUUCUUGGUUCUAAACUUUUUCUUUUAAAACAUGUACUGGGUAUUAAAUCAUUUUUCAGCACAUUCUUCAGUUGAUGAAAUUGGUCAAUUGAAAUUGAUUCAUUGCUACUAUAUUAAGAUGAAACAACAUAGUAAUGUGUCCUUCCUUAGUUUUGAACUUGGACAGAGAGAAAUGGGUCCUGCCUUCUCAUGGACUUCCAGAGUGCUAAGGGCAGUUCCUCCCCACCCCCCGGAGUUUCUGUUUUUCCUUCAAGACAAGAAUAUUGCCUUUAAAAGAAUAUUAGAAUGUGCAGAACUGUAUUUUAUAUGAUAGGAAAGAAGUAUAAGUCCACAGUGCUCUUGGGUGCACAGUGAAAGAACAGGUAGUAAAAUUAAAGGCAGUGAAAUAGCAUAUGGUUAGUUUGCUUUGUACCAUAGGGUAGAAGGGUAUUAAGAAGGACUUCUUGGUUGGCCAAGGUUAUAAUAGAGAAAAGAUGUCACAGGUGAGCGCUUUUCAUUGAGAGUGUAGUAUACUUGAAUUGUAAGGUGAAAAUCUUAAUUCUUCAAAACAUCUUUAUAUAAAUAUUUUAAAAAGAAAAUUGCUAAGUCUACCUGUGAUAUGUUUGGCACACUUCUUACAGAUUUAGCUGGUAGAGGAAGUUUAAGCCAGUAGAUGAAAUGUUAGAUCUUUGACAUAGGUUUUGAUUGAUAAUUUUUAAUUCAUGGAGCUGACAUCUUGAACAACACCUGUUUAUACCGUGGAUAUUUUAGGUCACUGGCUACAAAAGCUCUGAUAUCACCUUUCCAUAGGACACUAAUCAUUGGUCUACUCCCUUUAAAAAAGUUUGCAUCAUCUCGAAGCAAUAAAUGGUGUUAGAGUGAUCCCAAACUCAUUCUCUGAAAAUAAAAGUUUACACCUUACAUGGUUCUUAUUAUGUGCUUGGUAUCGUUUUAAUUGUUUUACAUGUUAUUAAUUCUCACAGUAACCUUCUGAGGUAGUUAUCAAUAUUAUCCUCAUUUUCACAAAUGAGGAAGCAGAGUUACUGAGAGAUUAAGUAAUAAAUACAGUCAGUAUAAAUUACCAGUUAUGUUAAAACAGUCUUUGGGGAAUCUUUGGAAAUCUCUUGCCUUUGCUUGGAUGGGCUUCUCAUUCUUUCUCCUUCCCUUUUCUUGAUAGCUGCUGUAAUCUUUGGGGACUGAGAUUGCCUUAAAAUUAAAUCACUUCUAUUUCCUUUUUAUUUUCUUUUCAUUCAGAAAUAUCCCAGACAGGCCUGGGAGGCAUUAAAGUAUAAGUGUUUGAAAAAGCAGCGUGGAGUUCAGUAGCCCACAUCACAGUACAGGGUCAUUAGUUGGAAGAAUACAGAUACUCCUUUUCCUUCAUUUCUCUGCUAUUCUUUUGCCUAUGCUUUAGCCUUUUAACCAAUGAUGCAAUAAGGUCAAGUGUUGGCACAUCUAAGUAACUAUAUUUUUAGGUCAUUUGAAGAAGUAACAGAGUGAAAUAUUCUUUCAAACUAAGGGCAUGAGUCCUCUCCUGAUUUUUUUCAUAAGAACAACCAAAAAUAAUGUUGGCAAUGUUUUAUGGCAUAGAUUCCUUUGCAUCCAUGUUUAAAAUGCCAACAGUCACCAGGCAUGGUGGUACACUCCUGUAAUCCCAGCAGCUCAGGAGGCUGAGACACAGGGAUCACUAGUUCAAAGCCAGCCUCAGCAACAGCAAGGAGCUAAGUAAUUCGGUGAGACCCUGUCUCUAAUAAAAUGCAAAAAUUGGGCUGGGGAUGUGGCAGAGUGGUUGAGCGCCCCUGAGUUCCAUCCCUGGUACCCCCUCUCCCCCCCCAAAAAAAUAGGGUUGGGGAUGUGGCUGAGUGGUUGAGUGCCCCUGAGUUCAAUCCCCAGUACCAAAAAAAAAGCAAUAGUCAGUUCACAAUAUGUCCAUUUUUACAGAACAUGACUAUUUAGACUAUUUUUAAAUGUUAUUUUUAAGUGCAAAUAAAUUAUUUGGUAGAAUCUGGUAAAGUUAGCAAAUAUGAAUAUGGGGAGUGGCUACCAAAGAUAAUUUAGAACUCUACUACAUUAAAACUAAUCCACUAACAAAUUAAUGGUUUAAAUUUGGGAAACUUAAAAAUAUAUAUUGUUUUAAUCCUGAAUUCAGGAUUAUAGACUCCCCACUCUUCUUGGCAUAGCUGUUACAUUUCAAAAAAAAAAAAAAUUAUCCUUUUUCAGCUUACUUUUUUUUUUUUUUUUUUUUAGCAAGGAUGACACCAAUAUUAAAGUCACAAUCAUUUAUUACACUAUUCCUUAAGAACGUUUCAGAUGACUGGUCAUUUAAAUUAGUACUAUAAUUUUCAUCUAAAAUGGAUUUUUCCCUUUUUUAAGCACAUCUAGGUAUGUUUAUUGAGACCAUUAUAAUGAAGUGGUUACUUCAAGUUCUUUUCUGUAAGAGGAAAUUUCAGAGGAAGAGUGCCACCUGACUAAGCACUUUGUAAGAGGAAGCUUUUGGAUGGGAAAGAAAAUUCCACAUAAGAAUGAAAACACAUAUCUUAGAGGCUUAGAUAGGGAUAUUUUGUGACUCUUGCCCACAGCCUUUAUUACAGAAAUGGCAAAGUGAUCCCUAUUUAAGAAACCCCUUACCAUAGCUCCUAUAUUGUAUAUCACAUUGACUAAAGAGCAGACAGUGGAUCCUGGGAUAACACAAUUGUAAAUUUGAAAUCCCACUUCCCUUGCUUUUUGGAUCAAUAGGGUUAUGUGAUAUAUUAUUAUAUUAUAAAAAUAGCAAAUUUUAAAUGCUUAGUCUGACCCUGCAGCGGAAUUAGCCUACUUAAAUAUUCAUUUGAGAUGCUGUGGUAUGUAUAAGGUUAUUUAUGGUAUUGAUUGUUAUAGUAAAAAGUUGCAAAUCAUCCAGAUGGUUUUUCAGUAGGGAAUAAAUUACAAUUCAGUUCAUCAAUAGAAUGCAAUCUUACAUAUAUGUUUAAAAGAAUGAGAUAAUAUUUUCAGCAGUUAUAUGUGUAUACACGUAUGCAUGCUUGAAAGUAUAUCCAAGAAGAAUCAAGUUAAACUACAGAUUGCAUUCUUAAAAUCUGAACAGAGCUGUGGAAUUAUGAAGAACUUUCACAUUCUAAGUCAUAUAUUGUGAUGUUUGAAUUUUUUUAAUCUGUAUUUUAUUUGUAAACAGAAAGAAGACAAUAUAGAUUUCUGUGUUAGCUACAAAGGGGAUUACCUGUUAUCCCUGAAUGUGGAAUUUUAUAGAACAUACAAGACAUAUAACUAAAGUAAGAAUAGAGUACAUAGCUUAUACAGAAGAGUACAUUUAUGUGCAUUAAAGUAGCACGUAUAGGUGAGAUGAAAAUUUAAAUAUUUUGGAAAGCUUAAUGAGGAGAAAGAGGUUUCUGCAUUUGAAUGCUAAAAGAAGCAGAAUUGUGAGUAGUGCUUUUAUGAUAGAAAUAGAAUAGAAUGAUUAGAUCCAAGAGAACUGGAGUGAGAGUUUUCAUUCUAGAGAAUUUGAUGAAGGGUUCACAAGAUUUUAGUCUGUGUGGUAAUGGGACUCAAAAGUCAAUGCUAUAUCAGCAUAAUAAAUAAGAAAACAAUGUUAGUGCUGCAGACCAAAUAGCAAUGUGCAGGAAUAGCAAAGACAUAAUUAAAAUAGAAGAGGAAUUGGCCUUAGUCAAAGUUUCAUCCCCUCUCCCUUGGCUAGUGGAUACUCCCUUACAGUAGCCACCUGACUUCCAGCAUUCCCCCCAACACUUCUCCUCUAAUCUGCUUUUAAUUCAGUAGCCUUAGUGAUUCUUUCAAAAGUUAACCCAUCAGCUCUGCCCCAUUUUGGAGUGGAGUCGAAGACCCUGAAUAACCUCCCUCCUCCAGACUCUGACUUUAUUUUGUUCUACUCUUCCCUCUUGCUCAUUCCUUUCCAUUUGACUGUUUACCCUCUUAUUGUCAUAUUCGUUGAGUCUCUGCUCAAAUGUCAUCUCAGUGCAGACUUCUUCUGAAUAUCUAUUUUUUUCGAUUUGCCUUUCUUCCAUAUUCCUGUAGCAUUUUGCAUCUUCUAAUACAGUAUCUAAUUUACUUCCUCAUUAUUUUUAUUGUCUAUUAUCUGUCUCUCCCCUGCUUUAAUGAAAAAGCUAUAUGAGAGAAGGUCCCUGCAUUCUGUCCGUCUACACAAAAAAUAAAUUUUUAAAAAAUCAGGUAAAGAAAAUAGCAGUUACAAUUUAAGAGACAGUUAUACUAGUACUACAGAUUUUACUUUCCUUUGAAGUUUUUGUGUGGAGUAUUGUAAAAUCUCAAAACCAACAGGUGGUCUUAUACUUACGUGUCGCUAGUUUGUUUUUUUAAUUAUAGUAUUAGGGAUUGAAUGUAAUGGUACUUUACCACUGUGCUACAUCCCCAUCCCUUUUUAUUUUUAUUUUGAGGCGAGUCUCACUCAGUUGAUGAGGCUGGCUUCGCACUUAAAAUCCUCCUGUCCCAGCCUUGCUCCUGUAGCUGGGAAUACAGGCAUAUGCAACUAUAUCUGACUUUGUAUCACCAUUUUAGAAAUCAAUUUCAGACUGUAAUUUGGACACCACUAAUAAUGUUUUAAGUCAUUAAGCCAAAUUUUGUUCUUGGCAUUGUAUUUUUUGUUCUUAAUAAUGAAAAGCCCACUUUAUGUGUUCCUUGUUUCAACCUUAUUUCAUGUCUUUAAAUAAAUGGAAGCUUUAUUUGCUGUCUAUCUUCUGGAGCUGGGUUAUCAUUUGGUUAAAGGAAGAAUUUUAUAUAUAAAACCUUUGUUUUGAUAUGAACUGUAUUUCUUAUACCACGCUAUUGUCUUAUAGAUGAUGAUUGGCAGGAAGCACAUGAACGCCUGGCUGAGUUGGAAGAGAAGCUACCAGUGGCAGUUAAUGAACAAACAGGCAAUGGAGAAAGGGAUGAGAUGGACUUGUUGGGUGACCAUGAGGAGAAUUUGGCAGAAAGACUCACUAAGAUGGUGAUUGAAAAUGAACUAGAAGAUCCAGCUAUUAUGCAGGCAGUGCAGACCAGGCCAAUUUUGCAAGUGAGUAAUUUACUCUUAUUUGAGAACUAUAGUCGACUAUUAAAAUAUUGAGCUUUGCCAUUAUCACUUAUGUCAUAGAAAAUUCAUAAUAUGAUUACUGAUGAUAGUAAUUCUGGAAAUAAAAUUGGGGAAUAAUGUGUGUUCUGGAGCACUAUAAUUUCUUGUCAACUACUUGCCAGUAAAAACCUUGGACCCUUGUUCCCUAAUAGCAGAUGAGUCACCCAGAGACCUCACAGUAUUGCAGAAUUUGUAUAUAUGUGUUUUGUUUGUUUGUUUGUUUGGUAGCCUCAACCAGGAAGUCUGAAUUCCAGCAUCUGGGAUGGAUCCGAAGUUCUGAGGCGAAUCCGAGGACCACUUCUUGCUCAGGUAUUAAAAAGUUUCUCAUUAUAUAAAAUUACUAGUAUUAUAAAAUGUUAAGUUGACUCCUGUUGUCAUUUUUCUUUACUGUGAACAUGUCGAUAUUUAUCAUUUGCCAGUAUUAUGUCAACUACUGCAUCCAGUACUUAGACGGCUCUCUCUGUUGAUGUGCCCUUUAUCAGCCCCCAGGGUAAAAAUUGAGAGGGAGCCAUUGGAACUCAUGUUGUCAGUAUAUGAUUUAAAUUAUUUUAAAAGUCUAGGCAGGGACAGAGAAGAGAUCAGGGUUUGCCAGUGGUUAGAUGUGGCACAAGGCAUUAACAGUAAAAGAACAAAAGAAGGGGAUUUUGCAGAGUGAUAAAAUUGUUCUCUGGAGGCAACAUCUCUUCUAUGUAUUUAUCAAAACUCAAAAAAAUUGUAUACCAAAGACUGAAUUUUUCUACAUGUGAAUUAAAAAAAAAAAAGCUGGUGCAGUGAUGCAUUCAUGUAAUCUCAGUGAUAUAGGAGGCUGAGGCAGGAGGAUCUUGAGUUCAAAGCCAACCUCAGCAACUUAUGAGGCCCUAAGCAACUUAGUGAGACCCUGACUCAAAAAAAUAAAAAGGGCUAGGGAUGUGGUUCAGUGGUUAAGCACCCCUGGGUUCAAUCCCUGGUACCAAAAGUAAAUAAAUAGAUAAAUAAAUUAUAAAAUUUUUUUAAAAAGUAUUUUUGACAUCUGUAGAGAUUAUUAAAACAUUUCAAGUUAGCUAAUUUCUGUUUGUUUUGGGGUUUUUUUUUUAACUACUUCCUCAUUAGGAAAUGCCUACAGUGUCUGUACUAGAGUAUGCCUUGCCUCAGAGGCCCCCACAGGGCCCAGAAGAUGAUCGGGAUCUUUCGGAGCGAGCAUUACCAAGGCGUUCAACUUCACCUAUCAUUGGGAGUCCUCCAGUUAGAGCUGUGCCCAUAGGCACCCCACCUAAGCAGAUGGCUGUACCCAGCUUCAACCAACAGGUACCUCUCAUUAACAGGCACUCAGCCCAGGAUAUUGGGCAUCUGGGCAAAAUUAUUUGGGAAAUGGGUGAUACUGGGAGGAGGGUGGAGAUUUUGGGUAGGCUUUAGAUUAGAAAGCAAAAUAGCCAAUUAUAGCCAAUUAGCAGAGAAGUUAGUACAAAUAAGAGACACAUUCCCGAAUAGCCUUUGCUGCUGUUGUUGCUGCUGCCUUUUAAUUGGGGGAGGAAAAGGGUAGUUAAGCACAUUUAGGGCUUAUGUACUUUUUAAAGUGUUUUACUGGCUGCCCAACACUUUGGCAGAGAGAUAACUGAAAGCUGGGGGGGAUGGGAACACUCAGCAUUGUCCACAUCCCUUUUUACCUUUAAGAUAUCCCUGCUUUCCCUAGAGCCUGUGCAGUCCUGUUCCAUAGACUUUCCUCCACCUGAAACCAGCAGCUGAAAAGGAAGGCCAAUUUGGAAGGUAUGGGGGGAGGGUGGUGUUGGUAUGGCCUAGUUAGGCUCAAUUAUCUAUGAAAUAAAUGGUGGAGUCACAAUGUAUCAUGAAAUUGCUGAGCAUGGCGGCCAUAUCACAGAGGCUUCAGAAUAGGACUUAGUUAAUCCUCCAGCUUUCUUAUCAUUCCUUCUCGCUCACUGCUACCAAAAUACAUCCUCUUGGAGAGAAUUUGCAAGUCAGAAUAUCUGCUGAUAUCUCCCUCAGAUAGCAUGGAAGGGUGGGGAUAACUGGAGAAUUAGCUAAAUCUUCCUCAGACUUUUCUUGAUUUGUGAGAGGAAGUUAUCAAAGGUUCUGGGUUUGAAUCCAUAGUUAUAGCAGUCUGCUUAGAAGUAGGGCUUUGCAUUGAGUUCUGUGUCUCUACCAGUACUUGAGGGGAGGGAGUGUAGGUGGAAGAAAAACUGAUUUCAUUGAGUGUAGUUGUAUAUAUGUUUGUCCUAAUAGAUUCUGUGUCCGAAGCCUGUCCAUGUUCGGCCCCCAAUGCCACCACGUUAUCCUGCUCCCUAUGGUGAGAGGAUGUCUCCAAACCAGCUCUGCAGUGUCCCGGUAUGUCUCUUUACAGUCUAACAAAAAAGUGAAGUAUGUACUUUGUGGUCACUGCCUGUGUGAUUCAGUAUGUAGAAGUGCUAACAUCUCCUAUGGAACACUUAAAUUUUAUAAUCUCCAUCCUUGAAUUUCUGGGUCUUAUGGUCCCCUGGUCAGAAGACAUAGUUUAUGUGUUUCUUAGCACUACUCUUUAAAAAUCUAAGCUCUUUCUCGUCAUCUGGUUUCAUGUUAACUUCAACUCUCAUUCUAAUUUCUUUUUUGUUUUAUGUGGCCAUAAUGUUUCAUAAUUUCUAGCAUUAUUCUUUUUAUUUCUUCAGUAGUGUGUGCUACAAUUUGAGAAUUUUACAAUCUAAGUUUAUACUGCAUUUCUACUGAGUUCCCUUAUUACAUUGAUUUACCUGUUUCAUGAUAUAAUUGUUUCCUUACUUUAUUUUUUUCCUUAGAACUCUUCCCUCCUGGGUCACCCUUUUCCUCCUACUGUUCCUCCGGUUCUCAGUCCCCUCCAGAGAGCACAGCUUCUUGGAGGAGCACAGGUAAGCCUGUGAUUAGCUCUAUCCAUAAAGAACCCGCUUACUGUCUUAAGGUUCAUUAGGACAUAGAUGUUUUUGUUAGUAAACACCACUGUCUCUUAUUUUUGCCUUUAGUUUUUAAAACAAAGUUAUUGAUGGAAACAGUAUUCAAUUUUCAGCAAGCAGGUGAGCUUGCUGCUGAUUUAAGGUUAACUCAAUCUUAAGAUCUUGUUCCUCUUUUUAGCUACAGCCUGGUCGGAUGUCUCCCAGCCAGUUUGCACGGGUCCCUGGAUUUGUUGGUAGUCCUCUUGCUGCCAUGAAUCCCAAGUUGCUGCAAGGGCGAGUUGGGCAGAUGCUUCCCCCAGCACCAGGCUUCCGUGCCUUCUUUGGUGCUCCACCCUCUGCAACACCACCUCCACAGCAGCACCCUCCCGGCCCAGGACCUCAUCUGCAAAACCUAAGGUAUAUAAAACAUGCCAAUGUUUACCCAUUGCCAGCUAAGUCUCUUGAUAAUUCCAAUUUAGUUUUUUAAUAUAAAAGUCUCUUAAUAUUUUUUAAGUGAGGACUGGGGCUGUAGCUCAGUGGUAGAGCUCCUGCCUUGCACUUGUGAGGCACUGGGUUCAAUCCUCAGCACCACAUAAAAAUAAAUAAAUAAAGAUAUUCAUCACUAGGUCCCACCAAAAAUACACACACACACACAUACAUACACACACACAUACAUAUAUGAAUGUAUCUUGUAAGUGAAAUAUUUUGAGAUCCUCAAGUCGGGGUUUGACAGUUUAGGCUUUCUUAUGUCAUCAUCAAGAAUCAUGCAUCCUGUGCACAUUUAUACGUUACAAGUUACUCACCUUUUAUUUCUUCUAAAGUUUUUUACUUCUCAUUUCAUGUCCACUUUACAAACACACACUAAGAUAUGCACACAUGGUAUUGAUCACUUAAGAAUCAUAAGUAAGGAUGAGAGAUGUGAAUAAUGAGAAGUUUAAAAAAAUAAUAAUGAUAAGUUGGCAAGUCUUGGUAUCUGCUACAUUUUUUACUUCUACCUUCUGAUUUUAUAACAAGAGGAGCUCAAGUUCCUGCUUUGAUAAAAUUGUUUUUUAUUACAUACAUUGUAUUAUCAGGGUUCUCAAGAAAAAUAGAACCAGUAGGAAAAAAAUAGAGAAAGGGUUAAUUUUAUUUUAAGGAAUUAGCAAAUGUGAUUGUGGAAGCUGGCAAGUUAAAAAUUUAUAGGGCAGGCCAGAAAUCACUAAGAAUUGAAGUUGCAUUCUUGAGUUUGAAAUGUUAUAUGUUGGCAGGCUGGAGAUUCAGGCAAGACUUCUGUGUUCCAGUCUUGAUGCAGAAUUUCUUUGGAGACUUCUGUUUUUGUUUUUAAGGCAAAUAAACCUCUUGAGAGAACACUGUUAAACAGGAGCAAAAAGAAAAUCACAUGCUUUUUCUAAAAAAUUUCCUGAGAUUUCAUGAUCAUCCUCUUAGUUGAGAACUGGUCUUUGUGGAAGAUAGGUUUUUAAAAAGUGACUUUUUUACUUAGAGUCUCUUUAGAAUACACUUGGCAGUCCCUACUGAACCUAUGUGAAGUUAUCCUGUUCUGAUAGCAUUUGUGAAAACUUCAGAUCAUCAGGAUGACAGAAUGAAAGGCCUUUUUUUUUUUUUUUUUUUUUUUUUUUUUUUUUUUUUUUUUUUUUUUUUUUUUUUUUUUUUUUUUUUUUCAUUUUUUUCUUAGAUCUCAGGCCCCAAUGUUUAGACCAGACACAACUCACCUUCAUCCACAGCACCGGCGGCUCUUGCAUCAGAGACAGCAGCAGAACAGGAAGUAAGUACUCAGUGUAUUCCUUGGUGGUUUACUGGACAGUGUAACAAAAUGUUAUUAAUUUAGUUUACUUUCUUAGUUUACUUAGUAUGAAGCUGAUUUUGCUGGUAAAGUUAUGUCACAAAUGCUGUCAUUUUUAUGUUUUUGACACACUAGCUUUACUAAGAUUUUAUCAACAAAUUACCAAACUGUUCUAACUCUGUUGAUCAUAAGUUGAGCUCUGAAUUCUUUUAAAGGUUAUAAGAACCUUACCAAGUUCUUAGCAUUCUCUUUAACUACAUUUUCUUUGACUUUCAGUUCAGAAUUAAAUCUUAAAAAUGUAGUGACCAUGUAAUGCAUUCCACUGCUGUCGUGUAUGUAAAAAAAUUUUAAAAAUCAAAUCAAUAAAAAAUUUUUAAAAGAGGAAAAAAAUGUAGUGACCAGCCUCACAUUUGGGUCUUAAUGUGAACCCAGUGGUCAUUCUUUAUUUCUAUAAAAAUUAUUUAAUUUUUAUUCAACAAAUAUAAAUGUAUACAUUUACAUAUAUCUCCCAUCUGUGUAUUGUGGACUGUGGUAGGUUUUGAAGAUUUUAAAAAAAGCACACAAGACAGAUAAAGCCUUUGCCUUUGUAGUUUCAUAUAAAGUAAUUCCAUAAUUAGGCAUCUAAAUAAAAUGAAGAGAAUAAACCAGGCAUGGUGGUACAUGCCUAGCUACUCAGGAGACUAAGACAGAAGGAUCAUAGUUUCAAGCACAACCUGCCUCAAAUAUAAAAAAGGACUUGGAGUGUAACUCAGUUGUAGAGUACUUGAAUAACAUGAGCAAAGCAAGAAAGAAAAGAAAAAAAUAAACUCUGAAGUUUCUUCAACCAUCAAUUUUAUUGUUUUUUGAGUGUGUGAUUCCUUCUCAGUUUCAGAAAUGUUCCAGAAUAUUUUUGCAGGUUCAGAAGAAAGAAACCAGUGUGGAUUAUUAAAUAAUACUCCAAAGUACAAAUUAUAUAGGGAAAGAUUAAUACAUUUGACUAUUAAAAAUAUCAGACCUUAAUAUAACAAAAGCCAUGCAGAAACAUACAACUCCAAAUAGAAGAAACACAAGUGGCUUAUAGAAAUGAAAACAUGGUCAAACUCACUCAAAAAAAAAUGCAAGAUUAAAAUUAGAUAACCACUUAACAUGAUCAGACAGGCAAAAUUUAUGAAGUGUCACUUUUGGCAAAGUUGUAAGUUUGUUGUCUUAAGUGGAGAAAAGAAAACUACCUGCUUCAUAGGGUUCUUUAGGGUUUAUACAGAAGUCCAUAAGUAAAAGUAUUUAGUAUGUGGUAAGAUACUCAGAUCUUUGUUACUCAUAUAGUUUUAUUUCCUUGAGUAUGUACUACAUAGCUCUUUCCUUUGAAGACUUGAUUUUUAAUUGGCCUGUUUGAUUCCUGUAAUGUUAUAACCUUUAAUUAAUUAAUAAUUAAUAUGCCUACUUAGAGUGAAUGUGGCAUAUGUUUUUCAGUCAGCAUCGGAAUAUCAAUGGGGCUGGAGAUAGAGGAAGUCACAGGAGCAGUCAUCAAGAUCAUCUUCGAAAAGAUCCAUAUGCCAAUCUCAUGUUGCAGCGGGAAAAAGAUUGGGUCUCUAAAAUCCAAAUGAUGCAGCUGCAAAGCACUGAUCCCUACCUGGAUGAUUUUUAUUACCAGGUAAAUACUUGGUGCUAGUUUUGAAAAUAACAUUUUGGCCCCUUAGGCUAGAAAAGGUAUUUGACUUAAAUUAAAAGUCGUAGCCUUUGGGCUGGGGGUGUAGCUCAGUGGUGGAACAUGUUCGAGGUAGAAUUUUCUUUUGAGGUAGUCCUCAAGCAGUUGAUAAUUUACUAAACAAAUUCUGUCCUCGCUUCAAGCAAGAGACUCUUGAGCUGUUUGCUCUGAGACCAGUGUUUUCAAUUUCUUUGGCUUCAGUAAUCUGGUUCUAUCAGUUAAGUAUAUUGGCAGUCUAAAGACAUUUCCUUCGAUUAAAGUUUUUGAAGGCUAAGGAUUUUUUCUUGGUAGAGGUGAGGGGGCAGUUUGGGAUUGAACCCUGGGCCUCAAGCAUGCUAAGAAUAUAUUCCACCACUGAGCUACACCCCGAGCCCAAAUGCUAUGAAUUUUAAUAUAGUAAAUGUUAGCUUGAAUCUAGCAAAAAUUAGAGAUCAGUACAUUUCUAUGGUUCAAGUUGUGUUACUGCCACUAUUGUAAAAUAAUUAUUUGAUGGUAAAGAACAAUCAUAGUCUGUGCUUGUGUUGCAACUGAAAUCAUUUUGUGGUAGAAUUACUUCGAAAAACUGGAGAAACUGUCAGCUGCUGAAGAAGUGCAAGGUGAUGGCCCUAAAAAGGAACGCACCAAGCUCAUCACCCCUCAGGUGGCCAAACUGGAGCAUGCGUAUAAGCCAGGUAAGAUGCAGGCCCUUAUAUGAUAAGAGAAAUUUGAGAUGCCACUGAUUUGAUAAAAUAUAGGUGAUACGUUAUCUGUUUUGUCCUCUUCUGGGGGCAGGGAGGAGAGGGCAUUCCUGCUGUUCUAUGCAUGUGGAUGGUUUGGAAAUAAUUUAUAAAGUACUAUUGCCUUUAAUAUAUGCAAAGAUCAGCCUUUAUCUGAGCAUAAAGUGUAUGGCUUGACAGAUGACCUCUUGGGUGCUUUUGAUAUUUCUAAAAUAAAUGAGGAGGAAUGAGAAAGGAUAGAUUGUAAUAAGGAGUUCCUUUAAAGGAUACGUAGGUUUUUUUGUAGUAAGUUGUUACACCAUGAGUAAAGAACAGAAAAGUAAAAAUUUUUGAAUGCUUCCUGCCUGCAUUGCUGAGUUUUUAUUUUGUUGGAAUUUUUAUUUUUAUUUUGUCCUUACAGUGCAGUUUGAGGGUUCUUUGGGGAAACUUACUGUCUCUAGUGUGAAUAACCCUCGAAAAAUGAUCGAUGCUGUUGUGACAUCUCGGAGUGAGGAUGAUGUAAGUGUCUGUAGAAUUAUAUAUUUAAGAAUGUCUUGGUGGUCACCAGUUACUUUGGAGUCAUUGUGGAAUGAGAUCAGGCAUGACGGAGUUGUUUGUAGUCUAACCCAGAGCUUACAACCUGGCACAUUAUGGCCUUCUGGUUUUCAACAGACAUGCUGAAAUAAUAACACCUUCAUUUCUCAUGUAGCUGGUGAAGGCCAGAAGAGGCAGGAAUCUAGACUAGGCAUGUUUGUCUGCAAACAGCAUCUGUUUACUCCAGUUUGCUAUUUUUAAAAAAUUACUAUUUUCUGGAUGGGGAUAUAGCUCAGUUGGUAGAGUGUUUGCAUUCCACGCACAAGGCCCUGGGUUUAAUCUCCAGCUCCACAAAAAAAUAAAUACUAUUUUCUGUGUGUUUUCAAAAUUUGCUAUGAAAUUUUAAUCCUCCGUAAAAUUCUAUAAUUACCAUUUGUCUAUCUAUAAAUUCAGUUUGUGUGUUGGUUGAGUCCAUCAACUCUGAACUUUGUGCUAGUGUCAUUUUAGAUUAUUAACUUUCACAGAAUCAAAAUUUUCUUAAAAUAUUUUCACAGUUGAACUACAGAUGCAUACUUGGAAAAUUGUUUUUAGCAGAGUUAUUAGACACUGAAUAUUCUUGUCUUUUAGGAGACAAAAGAAAAGCAGGUUCGGGACAAGAGAAGAAAAACCCUUGUCAUAAUUGAGAAAGUAAGUUUUAGAAUUUGUUGUUAUAAUUAGUUUCAAAUAAGGAACUGUCAAGUAUGUGUGUACCCAAGAAGCAGAGAAGUGAGCAAUGACUCAGUGUUCUUUGAUUUAAUUAAAAAUAUACUCUUAUUAAGUACUUAUUGUGUGCCACAGCACUACAGAAAGAAUUGUGGUAUACCUUCCCUAUGGCAUCAUGGAAAGAAUCCUGCAGUUAAAAUUAGAAGUACUGGAUUUUUGUUCAGACUUGUUGAAUUAAGAGCUGAGUAUUUCUGGGCAGGUCACCUUUCUAAGCCUGGUAAAAAUGGGAAUAAAAUUUAUAUUGUUUCUCCUAUGGAUUAAUUAAGUCAAUUUAUAGAUAAUUAUUGGGCACUCAUUGGGUGCUAAGGAAAAUAUAUAGUUGGUGUGUAAAGCAUAAAUCCCACAUGGCAAAGCCAUAGAAGAUGGCCUUAGAGUAUAUUUUCUAGGCUAUAAAUUAUAUCUUCCAUUUCUGAGGCUAUGAUAUGAAAGUGAGUUAUUUAAUAUUUCUGUGCUGUCAUCAGUUUCUUUGUCUAUAAAAAUGAAGAUGAUUAUGAUAGUUUUCUUGUGGCGAGUGUUCAGUGAAUGAGCAUGAAGUGUUUAGAACAGAGGCUGGCACCCAGUGGUAAAAUCACUUCUUAUUAAUAUUUUUAUAAAUACAAAGUUCACUGUGGCAGUAAAACAGAAUGUUAUAUAUACAGUGCUAUUGUUGCUGCACUGUAUAUUUGGAAAGUGUAAUGAUAUUUCACUAUCUUUAUCUGCUAGAUUAAAAGUCAGGGAGAAAUAAAAAAUGAUACAUGAAGAAUUAAGUUAUUUCACCCAGUUUUCCUAUAUUUUAAAGACCACCUUUUGUUUUGUUUUAUCUGAAGUUUAUGGUGAUCUUAUCAGGUCAGGUGGUCCGAAACUGUAAAGUUGUUUAUUAGAUACUUGAUGAUUUUAACACAGCAUGCUGUGGCCUGCUUUGUCUCUCCCUUAGACUUAUAGUUUACUUCUUGAUGUGGAGGAUUAUGAAAGGCGUUAUCUCCUAAGUUUAGAAGAAGAGCGGCCUGCCCUGAUGGAAGAGAGAAAGCACAAAAUCUGUAGCAUGUAUGACAACUUGAGGGGUAAAUUGCCCGGGCAAGAGAGGUAAGCUUUGUGCACUUUGAGAAAAACAUGAGACUACCUGGACUUCUGUCUCUCUCAGACUGAGUUUUACACAUUUCUGCCUUUUCAGGACCCUUCCCUGCUAUCUCUGUAAACUCAGAAUCUACCUAUUGUCCAAACUCAAAAGGUGAUUUCAUAUUAGCCAUUUCAUAAUCUUUCACAGCUGGUGGCUGGUCAGCGUGGGGAGUCUUCUUAUCCUGAGUUCAUUUAUUCAACAAAUAUGUAUUCAGUAUCUACUAGGAAUUGUGCUCGGUACUACAGAUAAAUGGUGGGGUGGGCCUAUUAGAUUUUUGGUUUUGAGCUUACGGACUAUAUGUGGUUUAUGAUUACUAGCAUGUAAUCUUCAUUUGUUUGAUUUUCUACUAAGAUGGGGAUUGUAAACAUUUAUAUUUCCUUGGAAUUUCCACAGAAUAUGUGUGUGGUGUAGAAACCAGUAAAUCUUCCAGUGGAGUCUUAAGUUCUGUAACUUUUAUUGUUUUUCUGUGUCAUCUCUUUUCCAUUUAUUAUCUGGAACAGAAUCCUGCUGUUGGUAAAUGUUCAAUAAAUCCCAAAUACUUAACAUGAUGAAUGUAAGAGGACUACAUUGGCUAGUAAUUCUCUUUCCCUUUGUACAGUCAGUAGAGUUGUGGAUUCUUCUAAGCCAGGAGAUACACAAACAGAACAUAAGGACAAGCACCUUGGGUUGGGGUUGUGGCUCAGUGGUAGAACACUUGCCUAGCAUGUGUGAGACACUGGGUUCGAUUCCUAGCACCACAUAUAAAUAAAUCAAUAAAUAAAACAAAUGUCCAUCAAUAACUAAAAAUAUAUACAUUAAAAUUAUUUUUAAAAAACAAGCACUUUCUUUUCAACACACCUUUUCUGGUGUUUUUAGGGCUGACAAGAAACUGGUUGAAUAGUUGUGGUUUGUCCAUAAAUUUCAUGUUACAUGGCAUUAAAAUGUAUGUGGUUGAUGUAUAUUUACCUGGAAAAGUGUCUGCAAACUGUUAACACUUGUAAAAUUAACUCAGAUUAUGUUUUUAUUUUUUAUGUAUACAUUUUCACGUGUUGCUCUAUUAGCCAUGUGAUAUUUGUGUCGAUACUUAAGGGUUAAUGUAAUAAUGCUUGUAUAGUUUGACCAAGUUUUUCUAAAAUGUAAUUAGUGAAAUUGAAAUUUUGCUUUUUAUUAUUUUAUUAAAGUUGGAGAAGUAAUUCUCACUAUUUUGUAGUACAGGUCAUUGUAGAGUGAAAAUGAAUGCAGCAUAUUAAUUUUAAAAAGACCUAAGAAGAGAAAACAUGAGGAUUUCCUGUUUUGCUCUUGUUAAUGAAAAUUGUCAUUUUUCUUCCCUUGUAGGCCAAGUGAUGACCACUUUGUACAGAUCAUGUGUAUUCGAAAAGGGAAGAGAAUGGUUGCCCGUAUUCUCCCAUUCCUCUCCACAGAGCAAGCAGCUGACAUUCUCAUGACAACUGCCAGGAACCUCCCUUUUCUUAUCAAGAAGGAUGCACAAGAUGAGGUGAUCCACCAUGUGGGACAUCUUUCCUUGCAGUUUUUUUCAUAGUUGAUAAGAUUUCUGGAAUCUAAUUUCUUUGUCUCUUCUCCUUUUUGUGUUGUUUUGUCUAAACUUUGGCAUUAGGAUUUGAUUAUUUAAAACAACCUUAAGUAAUUCAGGUGUAUUUUUUUGAAUCCCAUAGUUAGUGGAACAGACCAUCUCUGAAAACAUGAGGAAAUCAGUAGUUCCUUCUUAAUUCACAACACAGUUGUAAAGACAUGGUGUAUGUCAGAACUAAUUGGGAAGCAAAUAAGUUGGCUCUGUACCCCAAAUGCUGAAUCAGAAUUUAUAGAGUAUGGCUGGGUACAGUGUUGGAUGUCUGUAAUGUUAGCAACUCAGGAGGCUGAGGUAGGAAGAUUGCAAGUUUGAAGCUAGCCUCAGCGACUUAGCAAGACCCUUUGUCAAAAUAAAAAGGACUGGGGAUGUGGUCUAGUGGUAAGGUGCCCCUGGAUUCAAUCACCAGUGCCACCGGGAAAAAGAAUUUAUAGAAGAUAGAUCAGGACUUCUGUAUCUAAGAGAUUAGCAAAAUUUAGUAUGGUGUAGGAGGUCAAAACAAGAAAUUGAGAAAGGUAGGACAAAGGACUGGUAUUAAUGAGUAUGAGAUUCAGAAUAAUAAAAGGUAUUCGGGUGAGCCUGUCACAGUCAGCCACAAGCUGAGUGAGACCUGUCUGGGUAAUUAGUCCACAGAAAACAAAUGGUGACAGGAUACACUAGAAAUGGUAUGCUUUGACAAUUGGAAAUUGUUCCUUUUGUAGACCCUUAAAAUUUUAGCAUCUAUAGAAGUGAAUGAGCAGUUUAGGUCUAAUCAUUAAGAAAGUGAAGUGGGUAAGAAAGUUUAUUUUUAAAAGAUUUUAAGAAUGAAAAAUGGUUGGAAGAAAAUUUAAAGAUUUGAGGUUUAUCCUAAUAAGUUGACUAAACUAAAAAAAGUUACUGCUAUUUCAGACCAUGUACACUGUAAGCAGGCGCUCUUGCCAUAAUUACAGAGCAAGUUUGAGAGAGCCUUACUCAGUUGGCAGAUACAUAUUAGACACUAUUUUAUUUCUUAGAAAUAACAGCACCCAGUCCUAGGAGCUAGAAAUACAAAAAUGCCUGUCCUCAUGGAGCUUACCUCCUAGUGAGGAAGACUUGAUUAAAUAUUCAGGCUGCGUUUUUACGUGUGUGUGUUGAAAAGCAGUAGACCACAUCUCUCAAAACUAUUUUCAUGAAGGUACAGUUAGUUUCAGGUAUGGGGCCUGAAAAUUUAAGGCAAUCCUAAAAUAUUGUGUGCCUGAAUGCAAAGAAGUUAAUAGAUUACUAGGGUCCUGUGGAUGCACAGAUUAACUUUGAAAGGGCUCUUGUUGGCUAAAAAUGGGAUCAUUUAUAUCAGAAAGAAAAAUUAACAGUGGACUGAAUGAAUGUAGUAAAUGUAUUUCAUUUAAUGAAUUCAUAAUGACACCAAAUAAACCAGUCCUCUUUGGAAACUGCCACACCAUCAGUUCAUCCUAAAAAUAGAUAAAUAAAGGAAAGACUCAAGCAUUUAUCCUGCUUUUUUAUUAUAACCAAAUGUCAUGGUUACCAGAGUUGGUAAUAUAAAAUUCUUUAUAGAAGAACUUCAGAAAAUAAUCAUUUUGUAAGCCUGGACUUGUUUGGAGCAUACUGACAGCUGAACCUGGCGAUGCACUGCAAACACCACCAAGAAUGGGACACUAAGCACUGUGCUUCUUGACAUAAUGCCUGCAGUCUUCCUGCCUCCCUCUUCUGCCCCACCUCCCACCAUUAAACCAGAAUCUAAUCAAACUUGUAAUCACCAUCAGUUAAUGGGGACAUACUGGAUGGCAGAACCAAUUAAGUGGCAUCACAGGGAUGCAGGCGCCAGAUUCAAACAAUGAGACAAAUUACAUACUGAGCCACAACCCCAGCCCCACACAUGUUUUUUGUUUCAAUAAAUAGCAUGAGAAGAGGACAUACAGACUGUGGCAAAGGACCUGUUAUUUUUUUAAACCCCAUCAGUAAAAUACAAUAUAUGGAUCUUAUUUGAAUCGUAAUUAAAAUAAAUCAGCUGCUAAAAGAUACUGUUGACACAAAUGGAAAAAUAGGAAUUUUGAGUUGCUAUUAACUGAUACUAAAAUUAUUUUUAAUUUUGUUUGAUAUAAUGAGAUUUUGUUAGAGAAAUAAGUAUUUUUAGAAGAAAUGAUACCAUAUGGAAGGAACAGAUCUAAUAAAAUCUGUUAUUUUAUUACUGAUAAUACAGUAAUUUGGCUAUUGAAGUUGGGUAGUGGAUACAUGAACAAUUACUGUUAUUUGUACUUUCAUGUAUGUAUUUAAAUAUCUAUGAUUAAAAAGCUUUGUUUGUUUAGAGUAUUAAAUGUCAAAAAGUGACCCAGUCUCUGUCCUUAGGUGCCAUUUAAAAUAAUACAUCACCGUGGUUUUUUUUGUUUUGUUUUUUUAAUGUUUUUAUUUUUUUUUUUUAGUUACAAGUGGACAGAUGUCUUUAUUUUACUUUAUGUGGUGCUGAGGAUCGAACCCAGUGCCUCACGUGUGCUAGGCGAGCACUUUUACAACGGUCUUGCUUAAGUUGCUGAGGCUGGCCUCGAACUUAAGAUCCUCAGUCAGGAUGAUAGGCAUGUGCCACCACAUUCAGCUCUUGAUUUCCUUUUUUGUUGUAAAACCAGCUGUAUUUUAACUUAACUAUUUGUUCACUUCUUCAUUGAGCUUUUAUAAAUAAGAUAAAAUUAAGUCUGAAGGUGCUAGUAAUUGUGUAGCAGUCUAAACUUUAGAGUGCUUCUUACAGUAUAUCAAAAUUGCCAGUCUUCCCCACUAUGCUUCAGAUGUCUAAGGGUCCAUGUGUGACCUGUUUACCAUCUUUUUGGUGGGGAGGUGGGGUGGGCAUUGUGUCUGGCACAUUGUAGGCUUUUAGACGUUUGUGAAAUGAGCUCAACAUUCAUACUAAAAUAAUAGUAUGGUGUAUUAAUAUGAAUUUAGUAUUUGAAAAGUGAUUUUAGCCCCCUUGGUACUACAAGUCAUGGCAUUUCCAGUGAAGAUUGAAUUGAAAACAUUCUCAAUAGAUACCUUAGAAUCCAUUGUUGAGACUUCAGUCAUAUCCACUGGGCUUGCCACCUCUUUUUUCUUAAAUCUUGCCAUGAGUGGUUGAGUAUACUGCUGAGCAUCUUUCUGUCCGUGGCAACUGAUGGCCAGUAAUUAAAGAACAGUUGACAAGAUGUAAUACUUUUGUUUAUUUUUUUUGUAGGUGCUGCCAUGUUUAUUGAGUCCCUUCUCUCUCCUCCUUUAUCAUCUUCCUUCAGUGACUGUCACCAGCCUUCUGCAACAGCUAAUGAACCUACCUCAAAGUGCAGCUGCACCAGCACCCUCCAACCCUCACCUUGCAGCUGUGCUCCAGAACAAGGUGGUCUUGACUUUUGUGUCCCUAGAUUUUGUGAAACAUCUAAAUUUGAGUUACAGAUUUAAAAGCAGUGGCUACCAUGCUGUGAUAACUUGUUCAAAAGGGAUUCUUUCCUUUAGUCAGAAGUUGCGUUAAUCCUACUACCAAAAGCUAGAAAGAAUAGUGUUGUUAGUUUUAAGCUAGAGAUAAACAGUGUUGUUAUUUUUUGCUGCUUUUUUUUGUUUUCUUUUGUUGAAACACAGUAGGAUUUUAUGUAUCUCCUGAAGAAACAAAUCUGGUGUAGUCGGCUUACAGUGGACUCAAGAGAUCCAGGCUCCAUUUUUUUUUUUUUUUCCUGUCAUCUUUAGUAGCAAGACUGUGAACUUUUGUUAGAGGAAACAAUACAGAAGGAACAUGAUCCCUCAUGAUCUAAGAUGGUGUGGAGUUUACAUUAGGAAGGAGGGUGGUUAUGGAAGAUGUGGAUUAAUGUUCUGCGCUCUUCAUUGGGACCUUUUCCAGGACUUCAAACCAACUUCUACUUAAUAUCAAUGGCCAGGAUUUAGAUAAACCUAACUGCAAAAAAGUCUGAGAAAUAGCUUUUAGUGCACAUCAUUGGUGCCACAAGUAAAGUCAGAGUUCCUAAUAAUGAGAAGGAAGGUCUAUCGUUAAGUUACAGUUGGUGGUCUGUGUUAUAUGAUUAUAAGUAGAAUUUCCCAUUUUAUUUAUGUCAGAUUAAAGAUCCAGCAACUCCUAGUGGAAGCAUAAAAGAAAGGAACAAAUGUGAGUUUUUAAACAGACAAGGUUUUAGUUCUUUCCUGCCAUAUUAGCCUUAGAAUUCUGGACAGAUUUUUCUCACUUUCCUAGGGCAGCUUCCUCCUGAUCUGUAAAGUAGAAGUGAUGAUGUAGACUUCACAGAGUUGGCCUUGUACUUCAUUGAGAUGAUGGCUUUGAGUGCUUCAUGUAGUGACCCAUACAUAACAGGCACUCAUUCAGGCACUCUGUGCAGUAGAGGUGAAAAAUAGUCUCAAGGCCUCUUUCUGCCUUCCGCUUACAAUCCUACCAAAGCAUGACUCUGAAUGGCAGACAUCAGCAGGAGAAGUAACCGCCUCAGGGAUGUAGAUGGGCUUCUGAAGUAAACAGGGAUAUGAUUUGGUCUCUUGGUUUUAAUUUUGGUAAAGGCAGUAGGAAACUGAGACCAGAUAAGAUUAUAUAGCCCAGUGUCCGCCCCCAUAACAUGAAGGGAAAUUUUGUGGAAAGGCAAGAUUAUCCUUCCCUUUAUGUUUCAUUAUAGAUCAUGUGAUUCUUACAUUUAACCUGUUUCUUGUCCGCAUUUGUAUUUUCAUUUUAUGCCCCUUUAACCUACGUUUCCUUCUUUUACCGCCACUAAAUAAGACAUUUUUUUAUAUUUCAGUUUCUAAACCUUAUGUUGCUGGAUUUUAAUUUUAAACAAGAUGAAUGCAUUUGUUUAUCCCUUCUUUAUUUUUUUUUAUUUUUUUUAAGAGAGAGAUUUUUUUAAUAUUUAUUUUUUAGUUUUUGGUGGACACAACAUGUUUGUUUUUAUGUGGUACUGAGGAUCGAACCCAGUGCCCCGUGCAUGCUUUUUCAUUUUCCAUGAACUUUGACUUUUCUUUUUAAUCCAUUUCAGUUCUUGUAAAUAGGAAAAAAGCCAAACCCCAUGUUAAACAUGAUGGGGGGGCGGGGAUCAUCCUUUCACCCCAGGGUGAGGCACAGAUAAGAAUGUUGGACACCAUGAUGUUCUGUUUCCAAAGGCUGUGCUUGGUCGUGGCUGUGCCAAAAGCAAAACCGGGAGAAAGGACGUAGGCUUCUGGCUCAGGGUUGUCCAUUUUCUGCCUGGUUUCACAGAGAAGCACAGCAGUGAGGUCAUUGUGGCUUAGUGCUAUUCCCAUUUAAUGCUAGGAUCCCAUCAGUUGUCGUAGAGGAGGUUUGGAUGCUUUGUUUGACACCCUGUCUUCUCUCAUAGUUUGGCCUGUCACUGCUCCUUGUUCUCCUGAGCCGUGGGGAAGACUUACAGAGUUCAGACCCUGCUACAGAAUCAACGCAAAAUAACCAAUGGUCAGUACGGACUAUUUCUCUAUUUUAAGUUUUUUGAGGUGAUCUUUCUUUUUUUCCCUCAUCUUGUUGUUUGGUUUUCCCUAUCAGGACGGAGGUGAUGUUCAUGGCAACCCGAGAACUUCUGCGGAUUCCCCAAGCAGCCCUGGCCAAACCAAUCUCUAUACCCACAAACCUAGUGUCCCUUUUUUCUCGCUAUGUCGACCGGCAGAAAUUGAACUUGCUGGAGACAAAACUGCAGUAAGUUUUAAAAAGGAUAGUUGCACAUGUCAACAAAGUUGGCAUUUUAGAAGUUAUGAUAGAGGGGAGGAUAAAACUGAAUUUGGUGGAAAAGAGUAAAGACUUUAAAUAAAUAUUCGCGUAUCUACUGAUAUAAAAUGCUAUACUGGGUGCAACAGUACCCUCAUUGAAGUUGACUAAGAGUAAAACAAUGUCUUGGGUGUUUUGUUAUUGAGAAUCUUUACAAGGUUGAAAUUUUAAUACAAAAGUUUACUUUCUAUUUAAACUUAUUUAUAUAAACAAGUUUUCUUUCUCUUUUUUUAUACCCUUAGGCUAGUUCAGGGGAUACGAUAAAAGAUCUCCAAAUGUGUCCUGUACCUCCUUUGGGCUGCCACCUGCACUGCUGCCAUCACCAAUGGAGUGUUUUUAAUGAGGGAGGGAAGGUAGCUUAUUCCCCAAAGCAAAGUCUUGUGGGAUUGAUUCCUGUUUACAGGGGUUGUCUCUAAAUGCCAGGUAUUUUCCCCAUUGCUCUGUGAAAUUUGGCUGGGUGAUACUUAUGCUGGUUUCUUCUUUACUUUCUGUGUUACAAUUCUGCAUGUCCUACUUUUACUCAAUUCUUCUCAAUUUUGCAUUUUCUUUGCCCUAGCGACAAAAAAUUAUAUCUCCCUUGAUCCCACUACCACUACUCCAGUUCAAAGUAGAUUGUAGCCUGCCAAAAGAUUCUUCCCCUCAUCCUAUUGAAGUCUUUUUUCAUUAUCCCAUAUUAAUGUGACUGUAGGAGAGCCAACUAAAUAGAAAUCAAGUUCUAGAAACACACAUACCCCAUACAUACAUUUAUAUGAUCUCCAGAGGGUCCUUAAAGAAUGAAUUUUAGAUUGAAAAAUAUUUAGUUGACACAUACCAUCUCUAAACAAACCAACUGAUAUAUUUUUAAUCUGUUUCUAUUUCGUCUUGUAAUUAAUUUGGUGGAAAUACUUAUUUGUUUUAAUAUAAAUACAGGGUAUAUGGCACAUUUAAUAAGAUCAUAUUUCUUAAUUGGCUGGUGCCCAGCUCUAGGUUGAGAAGUGAUUUUCCUCUUCCCCACCUGUAUUUUCUUUGUUUUGUCCACCCUAAUGGAAACAGCACACGGUUAAGCCUUUUUCCAGCUACAACCACAGUGUGCUUGAGCCUGUCCCCUCAAGUGCAUUCAGGAGCACCCAAGGUGAUCCUCACUUACAGCCUGCUUGAGCAGUGUAGCUUUUUGCACACUCUGUCUUCCUGAGGUGACUUCAGUAAGCCAUGCUUGUCCAUCUCUUUUCCUCAUUUUCAUCUGGUGUCAUGGGUAGAAACCUUCAAAUGUAACCACAGAAGCUAAGCUUGGCCUGCUCUGCUCUUCACUAUCCUCCAACAUGGGCAGAACUGCCGCCCUGGCUCGUCCAUCUCACCUGAGCCUCGUUCCCAGACAGCCAGGGACCUGGGUUUAAAUCUUAGCAGGUACAGCCUGCCAUGAUCUUUUGUCACUUACCCUUCCUUUCAGCAAUCAACCAGGAUAAGGGUUUUGGUCCCUAGAGAUUUCAGUUCUGAAGAAGAUUAAAUCUGAAUCAAUUUUACAUGCCCUUCCAGUCUACUUUAUGCCAUUCUCACCUUUUCGAAUGUAGUGGGGGACUGGCUGUGACAUUUAAAGAGAAUAAACGUUUUGCACAUACAUGUAUUGUACAACAGUAAAAUCCUGUUAUAACCAGCUGUCCUUGUUCUUCAUCUCCGUUUCUUCCCAUUCUGUAACCCAGGCUUCACCAGCUGUUCCCCAGUGACAUUACCUAGCUUCCCUCCACCAUCACCUACUGACUAUUUCCACUAUGCGCCUUUCCUACCUUCCCUUCACAACUGAUCAAGUGAAUACUUGAUUAUUAUUUCUUCCUUACUGUGCUUUAUUUUUGUUUGGUUCUAAUUAAUGAAAAUAAAAGUUUCUAAAUUUACAUUUUUAUAGGGUAUUGUAAAUAAAAACAAAUUGUAUACUUCAAAAAACUGUGUGCCGA
RNAcentral lists this long non-coding RNA (27324 nucleotides) under Marmota monax (woodchuck). The stretch from base 16576 to 16645 matches the Rfam family "tRNA". The record is from RNAcentral. Lineage: Eukaryota; Metazoa; Chordata; Mammalia; Rodentia; Sciuridae.